Molecule: ribosomal RNA, 429 nt
Filed under: bacterium
Lineage: Bacteria
Description: partial 16S ribosomal RNA
Rfam family: Bacterial small subunit ribosomal RNA
Source: RNAcentral
UAGGGAAUCUUCGGCAAUGGGGGCAACCCUGACCGAGCAACGCCGCGUGAGUGAAGAAGGUUUUCGGAUCGUAAAGCUCUGUUGUAAGAGAAGAACGUGUGUGAGAGUGGAAAGUUCACACAGUGACGGUAACUUACCAGAAAGGGACGGCUAACUACGUGCCAGCAGCCGCGGUAAUACGUAGGUCCCGAGCGUUCUCCGGAUUUAUUGGGCGUAAAGCGAGCGCAGGCGGUUUAAUAAGUCUGAAGUUAAAGGCAGUGGCUUAACCAUUGUUCGCUUUGGAAACUGUUAAACUUGAGUGCAGAAGGGGAGAGUGGAAUUCCAUGUGUAGCGGUGAAAUGCGUAGAUAUAUGGAGGAACACCGGUGGCGAAAGCGGCUCUCUGGUCUGUAACUGACGCUGAGGCUCGAAAGCGUGGGGAGCAAACAGG